This 316-nucleotide unclassified non-coding RNA is filed under the name Zea mays. RNAcentral describes it as "misc RNA Zm00001eb367270". Lineage: Eukaryota; Viridiplantae; Streptophyta; Magnoliopsida; Poales; Poaceae. The record is from RNAcentral.
AAGCGUGCUGAGCCACCACAGCGCUGGGCCGCCAGCCAGCGUGACUGGGCGCGCGCCCCUCUCCCGCGGCCAGAGCCGAAUUGAGCCGCAAGGCCGACCAGAGCCGAAAUGGCUCCAUUUUUUCCUGGAAUUUAUUUUUUUCUAUUUCCAGGAAUCAGAAACAGUAAAAGAAAAUAAGAAAAAUUGUAAAGAAAAAUCAGAAAUAUUUCGGAAAUAUUUUUUCAGUUAUAGAGAAUUACAGAUAUAUUUAUGGACUAUUUUAUUCCGCUGCGUACUUUGGUACUUUAUUCAAUAUUUUAUGCAAUUUUUCAGUUGA